ACUCCUACGGGAGGCAGCAGUAGGGAAUCUUCCACAAUGGACGAAAGUCUGAUGGAGCAAUGCCGCGUGAGUGAAGAAGGGUUUCGGCUCGUAAAACUCUGUUGUUAAAGAAGAACACCUUUGAGAGUAACUGUUCAAGGGUUGACGGUAUUUAACCAGAAAGCCACGGCUAACUACGUGCCAGCAGCCGCGGUAAUAC
RNAcentral lists this ribosomal RNA (199 nucleotides) under uncultured Lactobacillus sp. RNAcentral describes it as "partial 16S ribosomal RNA". It matches the Rfam family "Bacterial small subunit ribosomal RNA", at positions 335 to 526 of the family's 1533-position model. The record is from RNAcentral. Lineage: Bacteria; Bacillati; Bacillota; Bacilli; Lactobacillales; Lactobacillaceae.